RNAcentral lists this ribosomal RNA (254 nucleotides) under uncultured bacterium. RNAcentral's name for it is "partial 16S ribosomal RNA". It matches the Rfam family "Bacterial small subunit ribosomal RNA", at positions 524 to 776 of the family's 1533-position model. The record is from RNAcentral.
UACGGGGGGGGCAAGCGUUGUUCGGAAUUACUGGGCGUAAAGGGCGCGUAGGCGGUUCGCUACGUCGGAUGUGAAAACUCUGGGCUCAACCCAGAGCCUGCAUCCGAAACUGGCGGGCUAGAGUUCUGGAGGGGGUAGCGGAAUUCCUGGUGUAGCGGUGAAAUGCGUAGAUAUCAGGAGGAACACCGGUGGCGAAGGCGCACAUCUGGCCCGAUACUGACGCUGACAGCGCGAAAGCUAGGGGAGCAAACGGG